AUUAGGAGCAAGUGAAACAAUUGUUGUUGCAAAGGAUCGACAGCAGGUAACGGGGAAAGAGGAAAGGCUUUCCUUCAUCAACGGAGAAACAGAACGUCGCCGUUUUAAUAAACGAAGAAACUAGAACGGCGUCGUUUCAGUUUAAGAAGGAGAUCUGGAACCUGCUCUUUCCUCCAUUUUCCCUGCAGAGGUUUCUUCUACAGUUCUACUUCUUGGGUUUUGGAACCCUCCCUGGCCAGCGCAUUCUCGCCAGCGUUAUCGCCGGAGGUUCGAACCAGCAUCCGGAGCUCGAAAUCUCUCAGAUGUUGGUUCUCAGAUCUUAUAAGAAACUAUGAAGCCAUUCAGGCUUUGAUCAUGGUGAGGAAUGGCUGAACUACAAAUUUUACCAAAAAGGAUAAGCUGUUUUCUCUUCAUAGUGCAUCAUGGACAUUCAAAGAGUGUUUGGACUCAUGGAACCCAUCACCUCCACCAUCACAUAGCCUGUCAACCAGGUUUGCUCCUUCAUCUUUCACACACAAGCUGGGAAAAGAAUGCCCUGAACAACUAUGGUUGGGCUUAUUGUGCAACUCCGUACCAUGAGUGGCGGUGUUACCACUUCUCUGGUCACAAUGCUGCAUAUCGUGGUGCCCUUCAUUGCCUACACAACAAUCAUGCCUGUCAGCUGAGUCCGUGCAUUUAGUAUUCACACACGAACUCAACCCGGAAUGAUCAGGCUGACAUCUUGAAGCACACCUCUGGGAAGAACACUUCUGAGGCUCACACUUCUUUUGAGAAAUGCUGUUGGAACAACUAUGCUGAUGAUUAUGAGAUGAGUGGCUCCCACCCCCUUUACAUCCAUGCUUGUCAACAUGUGAGGCAGCAGAGGAUUUACAGCAUUUUCCUCCAUGUUGGUGUGUUCCUCGUAAAAGUAGCAUGCUGUUGAAGAUCACUAGCAAGCAUGUACCGACAUCAGCAAGAACUGCUGCCCAAAUAAGCGGGUGACCUGCAAUGGCCAAGGCAAGGAUGGCAGCCUUUGUAGUGAUUGAUAAAAUGACAUUCUCAACUACUUUUCUGUGGGUUUUCCUUGCUAACCGAACAGCUUUGGGUAUUUUUCUAAUAUCAUUUGUCAUAAGAACCACAUGCCCUGUCUCUGUCGCAAGUGCUGAACCCGCAAUGCCCAUUGAGAUACCAAUAUCUGCUGUGGCCAAUGCAGGGGCAUCAUUUACACCAUCACCAAUCAUGGCUGUUGGUCCUUCCUCCUUAAAGUCUUUUAUGAUUCUCGCCUUAUCUUCAGGUAAAAGUUCUGCAUGAACAACCUCUAGAGUAUGCCCUAGCUGCACAUGAGAUAUUUUUUGCUGCCUUGUUAGCUUAUUACUUUAGGAUUUUACAGUCAUAUUUUGAUGAUUUUUUACACAUGAUAAUCAAAUUAUAUAAA
Molecule: long non-coding RNA, 1414 nt
Organism: Vitis vinifera (wine grape)
Lineage: Eukaryota; Viridiplantae; Streptophyta; Magnoliopsida; Vitales; Vitaceae
Exons: 3
Source: RefSeq, a predicted model, not a curated record